Molecule: ribosomal RNA, 253 nt
Filed under: uncultured bacterium
Lineage: Bacteria
Description: partial 16S ribosomal RNA
Rfam family: Bacterial small subunit ribosomal RNA
Source: RNAcentral
GACAGAGGGUGCAAACGUUGUUCGGAUUUACUGGGCGUAAAGCGCGUGUAGGCGGCUUAGUAAGUUGGAUGUGAAAUCCCACGGCUCAACCGUGGACGUGCAUCCAAAACUACGUCGCUGGAGUCUCGGAGAGGAAGGUGGAAUGCUUGGUGUAGAGGUGAAAUUCGUAGAUAUCAAGCAGAACACCUGCGGCGAAGGCGGCCUUCUGGACGAUGACUGACGCUGAGACGCGAAAGCGUGGGGAGCAAACAGG